Long non-coding RNA from Zonotrichia albicollis (white-throated sparrow), 1803 nucleotides. The record is from Ensembl. NCBI's taxonomy places the organism in Eukaryota, Metazoa, Chordata, Aves, Passeriformes, Passerellidae.
AAUCACGGGAUCAGAGAACGGCAGAAUGGCGGGAUCAUGGAGUGACACAGGAUCACAUGGAAUCACAUGGAAUCAUGGGAUCAGGGAAUGGCAGAAUGGCGGGAUCAUGGAGUGACACGGGAUCACAUGGAAUCACAUGGAAUCACAUGGAAUCACAUGGAAUCACGGGAUCAGGGAAUGGCAGAAUGGCGGGAUCACAGAGUGACACAGGAUCACAUGGAAUCAUGGAAUCAUGGAAUCAGGGAAUGGCAGAAUGGCGGGAUGAUGGAGUGACACAGGAUCACAUGGAAUCACAUGGAAUCAGGGAAUGGCGGGAUGGUGGGAUCACGGAGUGACACAGGAUUGCAUGGAAUCACAUGGAAUCACGGGAUCAGGGAAUGGCGGGAUUGCGGGAUCUUGGAGUGACACAGGAUCACAUGGAAUCACAGAAUCAGGGAAAGGCAGAAUGGUGGGAUUGCAGGAUCAUGGAGUGACACAGGAUCACAUGGAAUCACAUGGAAUCACGGGAUCAGGGAAUGGUGGGAUUGCGGGAUCACGGAGUGACACAGGAUCACAUGGAAUCACGGAAUCAGGGAAUGGCGGGAUGAUGGAGUGACACAGGAUCACAUGGAAUCACGGAAUCAGGGAACGGCAGAAUGGCGGGAUCAUGGAGUGACUCAGGAUCACAUGGAAUCACGGAAUCAUGGAAUGGCGGGAUGGUGGGAUCAUGCAGUGACACAGGAUCACACAGAAUCAUGGAAUCAGGGAGUGGCAGAAUGGUGGGAUGGCGAGGUGAUACAGGAUCACACGGAAUCACAUGGAAUCAGGGAAUGGCAGAAUGGUGGGAUUGCGGGAUCAUGGAGUGACACAGGAUCACAUGGAAUCACAGGAUCAGGAAAUGGCAGAAUAGCAGGAUGGCGGGAUUGUGGGAUCAUGCAGUGACACAGGAUCACAUGGAAUCAUGGAAUCAGGGAAUGGCAGAAUGGCGGGAUCUCAGGGUUGGGGGAUCACGGAGUCACACAGAAUCAGGGAAUCACAGAGAAUCAGGGAAUUACAAAAUGGCGGAAUCUCGGUAUUAUGGAAUCACAGAAUCACAGAAUCACACAGAAUCACGGAAUCACAGAAUCACACAGAAUCAGGGAAUCAUGAAAUCACACAAUCACAGAAUCAGGGAAUCACACAAUCACACAGAAUCCUGGAAUCACACAAUCACACAGAAUUGGGGAAUCACACACAAUCAGGGGAUCACACAAUCAUGGAGUCAUGGAAUCACACAAUCACAGAAUCACACAGAAAUCAGGAAAUCAUACAGAAUCAGGGAAUCCCACAAUCACGGAAUUAUACAAUCAUGGAAUCAUAGAAUUAGGGAAUUAUGCAAUCAUGGAAUCACACAGGAUCGGGGAAUCACACAAUCACGGAAUCACAGAAUCACACAGAAUCAGGGAAUCCCACAAUCAUGGAGUCAUGGAAUCACACACUCACAGAAUCACACAAUCACAGAAUCACACAGAAAUCAGGAAAUCAUACAGAAUCACGGAAUCACACAAUCAUGGAAUCAUGGAAUCUCAGGAUCACAGGAUCAUGGAAUCACACAGAAUCACACAGAGAAUCACAGGAUCACGCAAAUCACAAUCACACAGAAUCACAGGAUCACAGAGGAUCGCACAAUCGCGGAAUCACACAGAAUCAGGGAAUCACAGAGAAUCACACAGAAUCCCAGAAUCACACAAUCACAGAAUCACACAGAAUCAGGAAAUCACACAAUCACGGAGUCAUGGAAUCACACAAUCAUAGGAUCAGGGAAUCAUACAGAAUCAGGGAAUC